CCUACGGGCGGCAGCAGUGGGGAAUAUUGGACAAUGGGGGGAACCCUGAUCCAGCCAUGCCGCGUGUGUGAAGAAGGCCCUCGGGUUGUAAAGCACUUUCAGUGAGGAAGAACGCCUGGUGGUUAAUACCCAUCAGGAAAGACAUCACUCACAGAAGAAGCACCGGCUAACUCCGUGCCAGCAGCCGCGGUAAUACGGAGGGUGCGAGCGUUAAUCGGAAUUACUGGGCGUAAAGCGCGCGUAGGUGGCUUGAUAAGCCGGUUGUGAAAGCCCCGGGCUCAACCUGGGAACGGCAUCCGGAACUGUCAAGCUAGAGUGCAGGAGAGGAAGGUAGAAUUCCCGGUGUAGCGGUGAAAUGCGUAGAGAUCGGGAGGAAUACCAGUGGCGAAGGCGGCCUUCUGGACUGACACUGACACUGAGGUGCGAAAGCGUGGGUAGCAAACAGGAUUAGAUACCCCUGUAGUC
This 465-nucleotide ribosomal RNA is filed under the name Vreelandella stevensii. RNAcentral describes it as "partial 16S ribosomal RNA". It matches the Rfam family "Bacterial small subunit ribosomal RNA", at positions 338 to 795 of the family's 1533-position model. The record is from RNAcentral. Lineage: Bacteria; Pseudomonadati; Pseudomonadota; Gammaproteobacteria; Oceanospirillales; Halomonadaceae.